Molecule: long non-coding RNA, 12751 nt
Filed under: Lynx pardinus (Iberian lynx)
Lineage: Eukaryota; Metazoa; Chordata; Mammalia; Carnivora; Felidae
Source: RNAcentral
CAAAAUUUGACACGGAGAAGUGAGACAUCAGAUGACUCACUUGGGUCCUCUGUGGGAGAGGACCCGGACCACAGUUGGCUAGCCAAGACUGCAGCACUUUCCAGUAGUUUCGUAGAGCUAUGCUAGACCUUCAGUCCUGAGAUUCUAAGUGUGACACUAGAAAUCUCGUCUUAUACUUGGUAAUUUUCUUCAUGUGUAAAGAUGGCAGAGAAGUUCUAGUUUAUCUUCAAGUGCUGUUUGCCCACGGCCUCACCUGGAGCACAGGAUUAUAAGGGGACUGUACCCAGAGUAUUAAAUGUGCCAUUCCCUAAGCAGCUGGUAUAGCUCUGGUAAGUCACAGAGAAAGUUGGUAUUUUGUGGGCAUGUAUUCAAAACAGCUAUGCAUGUAAUUUUCUUAAGUACAGGAAUUUGGAAGUCUCCCUCAAGAACUGCUGAUUUGUUUUGUGAGUCACAUGUCCAAACUAAUAUUCAUCCUGGAGUGGAGGUGGGAAUCAGCAAGUAAAAGGAGGAAAUAACAACAUUAACGCCUAUUUUGGCUACCUUAUCGAUGUGGAAUAAUGGAGCUCAACAGAUGGCAAGUAUACACUCGGUCUUUCUCCCCAUCCCUCUUAAGUCUCCUCCCCCAUAUUAACAUGAGGGCAGCCCACAUUGAUGGGUUUUGUCAAAUGGAACAUGGGCCGGGUGGCCCCACCCCUGGCGACUGCCAUCAUACCAGCAGGACGGUAAAUACCAACUGCUGGCAUCUAUUAAAAGCAAAAGUGACUAAGCUUUUGGAAAUUGGUUAAGUAAUGUGCAAACUGUUCCACGAAGGAGGAGGGCUGGGUAUGAAUGUGAGCCGCUGGGUUUAGCAUCCCAAGAGCCAUGUGGAGGACUACUUUUCCAAGGUAGUUACUAAACCCCAUGGUUUAUAGGGUGUGGAAGCUGUGCAAAACUCCCAACUGAUGCUUCGCUUCCCCUACCAAUAUCCUGUGGUUUUGCUAUUUUCUAAGCCCUCGGGUUGCCCGUAUCUGAAAGCCCUCCCUGCACCUGCAUUUUCUCUGGCAGGCUUCCACUUCGCAGGCUUUCCUCCCACUGUUCGCUCCACGCAGACUCUUUUCCCAGGGAGCCACGUGACUCACUGACAACCUUUCAGUCUACUCAGAGGCCAUCUUGUCAAGACCAAGAGAGGCCUUCUGACCAUGCCACUUAAGCCCACGGCCCCACCACCCAGUCCCCUUUGCUUUGGUUUUCCUCCAUGGCACUUCUCACCAUCUAACAUACUAUGUAUUUUACUUGCUUGCUGGCUUAUCUGUCUCUACCCCAACCUCAUGCAGGCUCCAGAAGGGCUUGGCUUUAAGGCUCAGUGCCAUCUCCUCAAUGUUCAGGACAGUGCCCGGCAUUUAGCACAUAGGUGCUCAGUGUGUGUGUGUCACAGGAUUGAAAGAAUGAUGGGAGAUAGCUACGCACACUGCCGGGUUUCACCUGGAUAUGCUUCUUUUAAGAAAAUGUUUCACGUCCCAACCUGCGGAAUUUAGCGACUGUAGCGAAAAACAUCACUCCCUUGCCCCGCUUCAUUCCUGCUAGGCUAUUUUUACUGUCCCAAGACACAAUCUGCAUAUUUUCUGUCUUUUUUUUUUUUCUUCUUUCUAAAUAACUUGCUUCAACGAUUACUUCUUGAUUUUUCAGUUUCAGAGUUUAGGUAUUACCUUCGGACUUUAUGGAGGGUGACAAGCUUGGAGAGGGUAUGGAAGCCGUAUACCCCUCCCCCCCAUACCUUGCCCUGUGCGUCUCUUCCGUCUGGCUCUUCCUGAGUCCUCUCCUUUUAUGGCAGACCGGUAAUCUAGUAAGCAAGGUGUUUUCCUGAGGUCUACGAGCCGCUGUAGCAAAUUAAUCCAACCUGAAGGGGCAGGGGAAUCCCCAAUUUCUAGCAGCACAGGUGACCUGGACUUGCCAUUGGCAUCUGAAGUGGAGGGAGGAGGGGACAGUCCUGUAGGACGGAUUCCUUACCGUGGGAUCUGACGCUGUCCCCAGGUAGACUGUGUCAGAGCACGUCACCCUCCCAGCAAAUAGAUCUGUUCCUAACCCAGAAGCUCUCAGAACCCUGUCCUUUUGAGUUUUUAUGAAGGCUUUAGUACCUAGGCACAACUGAUUAAAUCACUGGCCAUUGGUGAUUGGACUCAAUCUCCCGCCCCUCCCCCAGCCCAGGAAGAGAUGGGGUAAAACUGAAAUUUUCAACCCUUCAAUCACACACACUGUUGGGUCCACUGGCACUCUGCCUCCAUCUUUAGGUGCCUUCCAGGAAUGACCUCAAAACAAGAGACCCCUUUUAUUGCCUUCAUCACAGGAAAUCCCAAAGGUUUUAGGACCUUUGCCAGAAACGGGGACAAAGAUCAAAUAUUUGUCUUAUUAUAAAUCACAACAUUGCAAAAUGUAAUUUUUUUUUUUUUUUUUAACUUGGAAGUGCUCCAGGAACCUAGUGGACCCAGUGUCUAAUUUCCUGGAGAGCUCCCUCACGGAGGCUUUGCCACCUUGCUGCCCUGUGGUCACAUGGCCGGUCAGGGAGUGCCUCAGUCUCAGACUACAGUUUGCCUAAAUCCCAAGUUUCCUUUCUAUCUUGGUGAAGCAGCUCUCUAAUAGCUUAUUGAGAGGUUAGGCAUUUUUUUGUGUGAUUUUGCUUGCAUAAAAUACCCUUAUUCUCUACAUGAUCGAUAAUUUGGCUAAGUAUGGACUUCUAGAUUAGGCAGUGAAUUUCUGUGUAAGUGGUGAGGCCUAGAAGGAGGGAGUAUGAAAAAUGUGGUGCAUUGUUAAGCAGGAAGCCCAAGUGUGUCCCCACACGACAUGGGAGCUAUUACACGUGACUUUUACCUGCAGUAUCUUGUUAAGGUUAGAUUUUUUUAGACUUUUCUUUUUUUUAAUGUUUAUUUUUGAGAGAGAAACAGUGCCAGUGGGCUAGGGGCAGAAAGAGAGGGAGACACAGAAUCCGAAGCAGGCUCCAGGCUCUGAGCUGUCAGCACAGAGCCCGACGCGGGGCUCGAACUCANNNNNNNNNNNNNNNNNNNNNGCCCGACGUGGGGCUCUAACUCAAACCGCGAGAUCCUGAUCUGAGCUGAAGUCGGAUGUUUAACCGACUAAGCCACCCAGGUGCCCCUUACUUAGAUUUCUUUACAUUUCCCUUAUGUAUAAAUAACUUAUUUUAAAAAUGUGAAAGUAGCUAUAAGCUUCCAGGUUAUAGGAGGUUAGCAAAAGAAGAGGAAAGCUUCNNNNNNNNNNNNNNNNNNNNNNNNNNNNNNNNNNNNNNNNNNNNNNNNNNNNNNNNNNNNNNNNNNNNNNNNNNNNNNNNNNNNNNNNNNNNNNNNNNNNNNNNGAUGGGAGGGUUCGUGGGGUCCAGAGUCGACGGCCAAGAAAGAGGUCUUGAUAUCUUUGGUGCAAAAAGGUGAUUUUUUACUAAAGCAAGGGGCCAGGAUCCACAGGCAAAGAGCUGCACUCUUAAGCGUGGAGGGUGACCAUUUUAUGCAGUCAAUGGGGGGGGCGGAGAUAAAGUCUAGAGGGAGUUUCCACAGAGACUUUCACAUGCUAAAGACUUAGUGGAGGCCUAGCUAUUGUCAAGCUCAGGUUGUUCCCCCCCCCCCCCCCCCCCCCCCCCACCCANCCCCCAACAAAGCAUUAACUUCCAGACAGUAGGGAGUUCCUGGACUUGAGGCUAUGAUGGGAUUGCCUUUUUCUGGUAAACUGGUGGAGACUGUCAUCAGUUUAACCAUUUUUGUUGUUGUUGUUGUUGUUGUUGUUGUUGUUGUUGUUGUUUUGUCCUUUCCUGUUUUGGGGUAGCUGGGAGUGUCCAAGGAAUAUCAUACACAUCCCACCUGGGGGACGGGGGUGCUGUUAGCCUGCAUCUUGGCCCAUGUUCCCUCAUCACUAGGAGUCUGAAACCAAUAGUGCUGUCAUUAAAUUGCCACUUUAUUAUUUUUUCUUAAUGUUUGUUUAUUUUGAGAGAGAGAGAGAGAGAGAGAGAGAGAGCAUGCGAGCAGGGGAGAAGCAGAGAGAGAGAAUCCCGUUGCCCUGUCAGUGCAGGGCCUGAUGCAGGGCUCGAACUCCUAAACCAUGAGAUCAUUACCUGAGCCAAAAUCAAGAGUCAGGCGCUUAACUGACUGAGCCACCCAGGUGCCCCUAAAUUGCCACUUUAAAUCCUGCUUACUGUGGCUGGUCACACUCCUUCCUUAUUUCCAUGCCUUGGGCAAACCACAAGUUUCUUAACAGCCAACUUUUUUUUUUUUUUUUAAUUUUUUUUUUUAACAUUUAUUUUUGAGACAUAAAGAGACAGAGCAUGAAUGGGGGGAGGGUCAGAGAGAGAGGGGGAGACACAGAAUCUGAAACAGGCUCCAGGUUCUGAGCUGUCAGCACAGAGCACAACGCGGGGCUCGAACUCACGAACCGCGAGAUCAUGACCUGAGCCGAAGUUGGACGCUUAACCGACUGAGCCACCCAGGCGCCCCCCAACUUUUAAUUAGUAUACACAUAUGCUCUCUCUUUCCCAAAAAUCUAACCUCAACUACCGAAGAAGGAUCUUGCCUUGCAUUGUCCUGACUCUAGUGCGGCUCUGCCCAAACUAUCUGUGGUAAAAGGAUGAUUUUCUUUACAUUUCAAUCCGUUGUGGACUGGUAACUUUUGGAAAACACAAUAAAUACGAGUUACUGGAAAAGUGAACCAGGAAAUCUAAAGGAAAAACACUUCUGUGUGGGGCUUUAGAUACUCUUCACUUCUGGGGCGCUGGGUGGCUCGGUCGGUUAAGCGUCCGACUNNNNNNNNNNNNNNNNNNNNNCGCGCUCCGUGAGUUCGAGCCCCGUGUCGGGCUCUGUGCUGACCGCUUAGAGCCUGGAGCCUGCUUCAGGUUCUGUGUCUCCCUCUCUCUCUGCACCUCCCCUGUUCACGCUCUGUCUCUCUCUGUCUCAAAAAUAAAUAAACGUUAAAAAAAUUAAAAAAAAAUAGAUACUCUUCACUUCUGACACGCACUUUUGGUCACCAAAUGUGUGCAGGUUUUCCCAGUCACCAAGCCACUCCAUGACACCAGCUGGGUGUCCCACAAUCUAAUACAAAUCUGACUCGGUCUACCUGGAGAGAGCAUCAGAUCCCACGUUAAGGAAUCGGUCCUACACGAUUGCCCCCACCCCCCCCCCCCCCCCCCCCNUCAGAUGCCAAUCCUAAAUCCAGGUCACCUUUGCUCCUAGAAAUUGGGAGAUUCCCACGCCUCCUCAGGUUGGAUUAAUUUGCUAGAGUGGUUCACAGACCUCAAGACAUUUUACUUACUAGACUGCCAGUUUACCAUAAAAGGAUAGGACUCAGGGGGACAGCCAGAUGGAAGAGACGCACAGGCAAGGCAUGGGGGAAGGGGUGCAGGGCUUCCGCACCCUCUCCAAGCUUGUCACCCUCCCAGCGUGUAGAUAUGUUCCCAACCCAGAAGCUCUCAGAACCGGGAGGCUUCGUUACAUAAGCAUCAUUGACUAAAUCAUUGGCCGUUGGUAACUGAAGUCAGUCUCCAACCCUCCCCUCUCCCCUCCCAGGAGGUAUGGGGCUGAAAGUUCCAACCCUUUCAUCACUCAGCGGGUUCCCCUGGCAACCAGCCCAGGUACACAGUAGGACUUUCCAAAAGUCACUCCGUUAACAUGAAUCAGAUGUCACUGAAAGGGACUCGUUAGAUACAAAAAAAACACACACUUCACUUCUAUCUUUGGGAGCUAUUUCGAGAUCCCGGGAACAAAAGAGGCCCUUAUAGCUCUUAUCGCUUAGGGCUUAGGAAAUUACAAAGGCUUAAAGUGCUAAGUGCUGGGAACCCAGGAGAAGACAGAAAUAUCUGUUGCUUAUUAUGAACCACAAUAUCAUGGAAAGAAAAUACAAAAGUAUAGAUACUACAGCUCUAAACUCUUGUUUAUUAGAUAUUGAGGUUAUAUUUUUAAUUUUUUUUUCAUUUAUUUAUUUUUGAGAGAGAGAGCACAAGUGGGGAAGGUCAGAGAGAGAAGGAGACCAAAUCCGAAGCAGGCUCCAGGCUCUGAGCUGUCAGCACAAAGCCUGACGCGAGGCUCGAACUCACAAACUGAGAUCAUGACCCGAGCCGAAGUCGGACGCCUAACCAACUGAGCCACCCAGGCUCCCCUUUAGGUUAUAUUUUCAUACCCAACAAACAAAAUUAUUCUGUUAAAUUGCCUUAAAAAGUCCUGUUAAAUGAACUAAACAAAGAGGCCAGUAGACUGAGGUGGCCCUAAUACCUUAGCAGCCUGUGAGAGCAGACCAAAGUGCCUAAGGCUAAGAAACCAAAAGCUACGGACAACCAAUCAGAAGCAACCCCUAGGCUUUCCCAAAGCCUGCAACCCCGGAAGCUGCAGCCAAUCAAAUAAUUUCCCUGCUUUGUUUCCGCCUUUCCAUAGGCAAGUCUUUCCCUGAGCUCUUGUUGCUGGAAUCCCCCCAAACAUUUCUGGUCUGGCGGUGCCCGAGUCAAAUCAUUUCUUGCUCAUAAACUCUGAUUUUUUUUUUUUUUUUUUAGUAUGCCUCUGUUUAUCUUUCAUCUCAACCUCUGCUUCAGGCUGUGGACCACAUGUUGAGUAACUGUGCUGGCCUGAAUAGUGCCCGGUGUGGAGUCCUGACCAUUGCCAUCCAAGCACACCAACCCUUGUUUUCACACACUACACACGUCAGCCUGUCUUUCAAAAACCUCCACAAUGUGUCCCGCGCGUACUUUUAAAACACCACACUUUGUUGCUGUAUCAUGUAUACACAAGCCACGGUAUCCAUUUCAAGUGUACGUAUGAUUUGAUGAAUUUUGAUGGAUGUGUCUACCCUCGAAACCACCACUGAUGAGGGAGCAUAAGGCAAGCUGAGGACAAAGUACAAGCGCGCACACUCUGCCCCCCACCCCCCCACCCAACCAGGUGGGAAUGUGAUAUUCCGCAGGCACUCCCGGCUGCGCCAGAACAAAGGACAGAAAACAAAUGGUUAAACUCAUAUCAUCUCCAUCAGUUUACAAAUAUCUUAGUAAUAUUUCAAGAAAAGGGCAAUCUUAUAAAUAGCCUAAAGUCCAGGAACUCCCUACUGUCUUAAUGUUAAUGUUUUGCUAGAGGGAAAAACAAGCUUAGCUUGCUAAUAGCUGGGCCUCCAGUAACCUAUAUAUAUAACCAGCCACUUUUCACAACCCCAGUGCAGCUCUUUCUGCCCACGGGUCCUGUCCCUGUGCUGUGAUAAAAUCACCUUUUUGCCCCAAAGACGUCUCCAAGAAUUCAUUCUUGGUCAUCAGCUCCGCACUCCCUCACUACCCCAAAACCUCAUCACCACCACAAUCCUGCUACAAAGUAUCUCUGUUACCCCAAAGAUAUGCCUCGCGCCCCUUUGUAGUCCAUUUGGCCACAGUUCAAGGGCCAAAGUCACACUGCUUCUGUAAGUAGAGGUUAGUUUUGCCUAAGGAAUGAAGUUUCCUUUCAUUCAUUUUAAUGACUCUGAGAUUCAUCCAUGCUGUGGAUGUAUCAGCAAUUUUUUCCUUUAUAGUGGCGUUCCAGUUGGAGCCUGCUGAUGUUUCUAGUUUUUGGUUACUGUGAAUAAGGCCACUACGAGCAUCCAUGUGUUGGCCUGCGAGUGGGCCUAUGUUUCACUUCUCUUGGGUGAAUACCUAGGAGUGGAAUGGCCAGGCUGUACGUACGAUAGGUGAAUGUUGAACUCCACACCUCUUUUUCUCACAAUUUCUAUUUCCUACCUUCCCUCCUACCCACCCUUGAGCCAUACUGAACUACUUUCUUUUUCUCAGACGGGUCAAGAUCUCCUUUCUCGUCACCAUUCUUCAGGUUACUCCUUUGGCCUACAACAUCCCUUUCCAUAUCAUUCCAUCUACCUUAGUUGGGUUCAAGCACCAACUCCACAAAGUUCUCUUUCUUCCUCUCAGUUAGAGGUGACUGCUCCCCUCUGGGAAAGCCCGCAGAACUAUACCUUUCUCAGAGCUUGCCUCCUGCACUAGAUUCUAAGUAUCCCUGAUAGUGGGGUCCAGUCUGGAAGCUUCCCACCCCCCACAGGGCCAGGUUCAGUUCUUUACAUAGGGUAGGCAUUCGGUAAACCUCUGCUGAAUUAAGGAACAUAAUUAGUGAAGCAUGGAAAGGGCCAGUAUAUAUGGUAUUUGAGAAAAGGGAAUAAGUAAAUUACUUGGAGAGAAGAAAGCUAAUGGAGGUUACAAUAGCUCCUUUGUGACAUUAUUUGAGGUAUAUAUGUGUGUGUGUAUAUAUAUAUACGUGUGUGUGUAUAUAUAUAUAUGUGUAUAUAUAUGUUUAUAUGUAUAUAUAUGUAUAUGGAUAUAUAUGUAUAUGUAUGUGUGUGUGUAUAUAUAUAUGUGUGUGUGUAUAUACGUGUAUAUAUUUUUUUAAACAUUUAUUCAUUUUUUGAGAGACAGAGACAAUGCGAGGGAGUGGCAGAGAGAGAGGGAGACACAGAACCUGAAGCAGGCUCCAGGCUCUGAGCUGUCAGCCCAGAGCCCAACUCGGAACCCACAGACUGUGAGAUCAUGACCCAAGCUUAAGAUGGAAACUUAACUGACUGAGCCACCCAGGCACCCCACGACAACCUCAUUUGAAAAAAGACUAAAUAAAUACUUAUCUACCUUACGUGAUGUGAGGAUUUAUUCAAAGGGUGACGGAAUAUUCCGGUUCUCCCUCCCCCAAUUGACCUGCUUGCAUAUCUGAAAUUGCAUCAUUAAAGAUCCAUUCCUAUCUAGGAUCGAGUAGCAACAAUUGGUAAUAUCACAAAAAAAGAGACAAGCAGGCAUAAAGUGCCUCCUGAUGAAAGAACACAAUACCACCUAUGAAACGGUCUUGUGAAAAAGAGCAAAUCUGAAUCUGGUUGACGUGCAACUUGACCAAAGUACUGCAUCUUCAGGAACAGAAUGUAUUAAACUCCAUUACAGAGAUGCCAUCACCAAAAUCCUGAGGGGGUGGGGGGGGGCGGGAAGGGUGGAUUCUAAAGAACAAAUAACUGGGUUUUUUCUUUUAAACAAAUAAAGUAAGGGGCGCCUGGGUGGCUCAGUCGGUUAAGCGUCCAACUUCAGCUCAGGUCAUGAUCGCACAGUCCGUGAGUUCGAGCCCCGUGUCAUGCUCUGUGCUGACAACUCAGAGCCUGGAGCCUGCUUCGGAUUCUGUAUCUCCCUCUCUCUCUGCCCCUCCCCUGUUCAUGCUCUGUCUCUCUCUGUCUCAAAAAUACAUAAAAACAUUAAAAAUUUAAAUAAAUUGAAAGAAAAAAGAAAGAGGCAAGCUAUAGAUUAAGAAACUAAAAAGAUAGAGUAGGCAAUUGUAAUUUAUGGACCUUAUUUGGAUCCUGAUUGAAAAAUAAAUUGUAAAAAACAAAAAGAAUUAUGACAUUGAUGAUAUUAUGCCUUUUUUUUUUAAGAGUCUUAAUCUUUUAGAGAACAUUAUAGAGAAAGGGAGAAGUGGACAGUGAUAGAGAUGAUUGGCAAUGAGUUGAUAAUUAAGCAGCUGGAUGAUGGGUACAUGAAGGUUUGAUAUAUUAUUGAAAUUUCCAUAAUCAAGAAUUAAAAACAUAAAAAUGCUCCCUUUGGGUCAACUUUUGGGGGGCUCAAAAGGCUUUUUUUAAAAAGGUAAGUCGUUCCCAGUAGGUUAACACGUUAACAAAUGAUAAAUUAUUCACAUCUUAGCCCUUGACGUUUCUAAUAGCUGACGUGAAAUGUUCACCCUCCUCAGCCCUGCCUUUUACCACCUCAGCCCCCCCCUUCUCUAGCUCCCCCCUCAUUGACGCCCAGCCAGUCCCCCCACACCCUCCACCUUCUUGCACCUAUCUCCUGUUCGUGCCAUUCUGUCUGCCGGAAUGCUCCCUCUUCCAUCCCCUACUGGCUGACCCCGCCAAUCUUGAAAGAUUCAGACCAGUGUCGCUUUCUCCCAGCGCCCCGUCAUUCUCCUCCAUCAGAACAUAUCACCGCACCCUUGAUGCGCACCUAGGAGCUUUGAUCAAACUGCUGUCUCCAGACACUCAGCACGUCGUGUUACAUUGUAAUGGAGAAUUCCACCUUCUUCUCCAGUUUAAAUCACAAUAGAUAUUUUGGGUGGAUUAGCUCUUUUGGUUAAUCUAUCUAAUCUCAGCAGGGUGAGACCACCUUCGUUGAGAGGCAAGGUUAAGGCCUGUCCUUUAGCCGGAGUUAAGCAGGCAGUACUCAGGUUGAAUGGUGUGGAUCCCUGCAAACUCAAACAGCUACAGGUGCUGACAGGUUGUGUGUCUGAGGGAGGCAGGCUGAGGAGAGACUAGCAAAACGGAGAGCCCGUGCCCUUGCUGAAAGGUGUUUAACCACCUAGCUCAGUGGGCUGUGGGCCCCGGGGCACGAGGGCCCAAUAUUGUCAGGCCUUCUGAUUUUUCUUUUUUUUUUUUUUAACGUUUAUUUAUUUUUGAGACAAAAAGAGACAGAGCAUGAACGGGGGAGGGUCAGAGAGAGAGGGAGACACAGAAUCUGAAACAGGCUCCAGGCUCUCAGCAGUCAGCACAGAGCCCGACGCGGGGCUCGAACUCACGGGCCGCGAGAUCAUGACCUGAGCCGAAGUCGGCCGCUUAACCGACUGAGCCACCCAGGCGCCCCAGGCCUUUGGAUUUUUCAAGAAAAUCUAGGCAUCUCCUCUUGCAUAGGCUCCUUCCAGGGCCCAAAUGUUGUAUAAAACUUGCAAAAAUAAGAUACUGUGUCUGUAAUCAGUUAAGGCUGCUGUCUCCUUCUACUUGGCUUUCCUUUAUGUCAUUCUCCCUCUAAAAGUGGGUGGCACUGGAGUGGAUGUAGACAUUUCUGGAAUCCAAGUGUAGUAGAGGGAAGUUGACUUGGGGGUGUGUUUAGUGGGAUGUAUUUAAUCAUGGUUGGCGGCCAUUUACAUGUAUAAUUCAGUUACUACCAUGCUGGCCUAGGAAUAACUUCCAGAAAUUCUACCACCCACUGGACAAUUCACCUAGAACUGUGAUGUGUUACUUAAAGAUGAAAAGACAGAGGUGAGAGGUGGUAUGAUAUAUACUUUUUUUUUUUUAAGUUUAAUCAUUUAUUUUAAGAGAGAAAAAGUACCAGUGUGGGGAGGGACGGAGAGAAAGGGAGACAUAGAAUCCGAAGCAGGCUCUAGGUGGAACCCAACACGGGGCUCGAACUCACGAGCCGCCAUGAGGUCAUGAACAGAGCCGAAGAGUUGGACACUCAACCGACUGAGCCACCCAGGUGCCCCAAGAGGUGGUACGAUAUAAACCCUGAGUGACCAACAUUGGAAACAUGUAGGUGGGGAAAAAGUAACAUGGCAUACAAUGAAUGGAGCCAGAAACAAGUCUAUGGAAAAGUCAUACACUUCUUAGAUGAAUAAAACUCUCUAUAAAAUUAUGUUAUAUUUUAUACAAAUAGAGGCAUAAGAGUCCAGCACUGUUAGAUCUUUUGAUUUUUUUCAAGAGUAAUCAGAGGCCCAUAUGUUUUGGAGAUAUCUGCGGAAUGAAAUGGUGGCCAAUAAAAAAAUAUAUUUUUUGCAAUAUAUAUGGAAAAUAUUGAAAUUGAGAGGCAACUCAUUAAAAUAUUGUUACUUUUUAAGUAUCAGCUUCUUAAAAUUAGAAAUUUGAAAUUUUUUUUUUCAUUCUAACCCAUGGGUUUUUAGCCUUUUUCCCUAUGGCCCUCUGUGGCAGUCUGAAGCAGCCUAUUAACCUCUUCUCAAAAUAAUGUUUUGUUGUUGUUGUUUUAAUUUUUUUUUUUUAAUUUUUAUUUUUAAGUAGGCUCCAUGCCCAACCUGGGGCUCGAACUCAUUACCCUGAGAUCAAGAGUUGCAUGCCCUACGAACUGAGCCAGCCAGGCACCACAGAGUAAUGUUUUUAAAUGUAUAAAAUAAAGUAUAUAUGAUUACAAAGGACACCACUGAAAUAGUUUUCACAAUAUUAAAUGAACCCAUUUAUAAUAUCGUCAUAUUUGCUUCUGCAUGCAUUAAAUACGAAGAUUCACUGGCAGACCUAAUAACUACUGAAAUAUUAAAGUCAUGAUGGACGGGGCACCUGGGUGGCUCGGUCCGUUAAGCAUCUGACUCUUGAUUUCGGCUCAGAUCAUGAUCAUGGUUCAUGGGAUCCAGCCCCACAUCGGUCUCUGCACUGACAGCCUGCUUGGGAUUCUCUCUCUCCCUCUCUCUCUCUCUCUCUGCCCCUCCCCCCUCCUCUAUCAAAAUAAAUAAGUAAACUUAAAAAAAUAAUGAUGAGCAUUAAAGGAUAUUCUGAACUAUCUGUACAACUGCAUUGUCAUAUGUGACAAAAUCAAAGUAUUAUUAUUAGUAUAAAGUAUGGUUAUUAGUAUUUGAUAAAGUCAAAGUACUGUAUUAGUGACAAGGUCAAAGGUAAUGUUCUUACUACUGUAGUGUGUUGCUUGCAUUUAUAAUUGAAAAAUAUACUAAUUUUCAGUUACAGGUUAAAGAAAAUAAAGAUGUACUUUUUUCUACCCAAGUGCAUACCUCCAUAGGAGGGUGUGAAAAGGUGUCCAUGGACCCCAAGGUAAGAACGCCUUACAACAGCCACUCUCAUACCUAACUCUGGAGUCAUAAUUUUAUGUUUAUUUCCUUAAGUGGGGCCUCCUCAGUUAUAUCUCAGUUAUAGGGGCCCUCAGUUAUAGGGGGCCCUAUAACACCUGGAUCUUCAAAAUAAACCCGCGCAAUGACCACUUCUCAUCAUCUUCACAGGGAACACAGGGCCAAGCCACCGUCAUUUUUCAUCUGCCACUGUCCACAGGCUGGCUAACUGCUCUGCCCUGGACCCGGUC